Pelobates cultripes (western spadefoot toad) is the source of this 168-nucleotide non-coding RNA. Lineage: Eukaryota; Metazoa; Chordata; Amphibia; Anura; Pelobatidae. The record is from the annotation of a GenBank genome assembly.
GCAGACACAUUCCAGCCAAUCAGCAGCAGACCCUCCCUCCAAGACCCUCCCACCUCCUGGACAGCAUCCAUUUUACAUUCAUUGUGAAGCUGCAUUCUUAGUGAGCUGUCCAGGAGGUGGGAGGGUCUGGGAGGGAGGGUCUGCUGCUAAAUGGCUGGAAUGUGUCUG